UAGGACCUUCUACACUUCAAAGUGAAUGUAUUUGUAUAUUUAUCCUGAAAUAGGUCCUUAAUAGGCUAUACAUUAUUAGAAGGGGGAUUCUUCACUUGCAUGUGAAAGGGUUAAAUGCAACUAUUCAUUGUUGUCACACUAUGCCAUCAAAACUAACUUUGUGUUUUUUUUCUUCUUCAUUUGCAUAUUUAUGGGACACUGAAGACCAUUCAAAGCUCACGGCAGAAAAGAUGGCACAGGUGUGGAAGGUCGUCGAAUUCAAAGAUAGGAGCACUACCAUAGUGCCAAGCAGCUGGUUGGAGGAGGCAGGGGAGUCAUGGAAUUGUUUCUGGCCUCCUAGUUCUUACGAUCAUAACCGCCUCCAGAAGGCAGUCGCGCACCACCUUCCUCCAGGUGCAGCGUGGGACGUGCACGGUGACGUGAGGGUCUUGGUUAGCUGUGCAACAUAUGUUAAGGCAAAGGACUACCUGAAAAAGUCCUUACUGUGUUUAACAUCAGACAUACAGUCAGAGGCUGAAGACCCUAUCAGAAGGAAAAAAAGGCCAAACUCACGCUACCUGCAGGAGCCAGCUGGAAGAGUCCAGACCACUACGGGCCCGCCGCAACACUUUUUUGAAGGUGUGGACACUGAUGACGAGGCACCACCCCCCCCCCAAGGAAAACAGCACGACAAUCUGUAGAGGUAGGGCCAG
Gadus morhua (Atlantic cod) is the source of this 692-nucleotide long non-coding RNA. NCBI's taxonomy places the organism in Eukaryota, Metazoa, Chordata, Actinopteri, Gadiformes, Gadidae. The record is from Ensembl.